UGCCCUACAGUUCCCCACUCGGGAACAAGGAGCUGGUAUCAGGCACAUAAAUUUUAGCCCACGACACCUUGCUUAGCCACACCCCCAAGGGAACUCAGCAGUGAUAAACAUUAAGCCAUAAGUGAAAACUUGACUUAGUCAAAGCCAAGAGGGCCGGUAAAACUCGUGCCAGCCACCGCGGUUAUACGAGUGGCCCAAGUUGACAGACACUCGGCGUAAAACGUGGCUAGGCUAAACACUCAAACUAAAGCCGAACACCUUCUAAGCUGUGAUACGCAAUCGAAGGCAGGAAGCCCCACCACGAAAGUGGCUUUAACCUGAGCUGAACCCACGAAAGCUAGGGAACAAACUGGGAUUAGAUACCCCACUAUGCCUAGCCGUAAACACUGAUAGCACCCCACACCCGCUAUCCGCCCGGGAACUACGAGCAACAGCUUGAAACCCAAAGGACUUGGCGGUGCUUUAGACCCACCUAGAGGAGCCUGUUCUAGAACCGAUAAUCCCCGUUCAACCUCACCCCUCCUUGUUUUACCCGCCUAUAUACCGCCGUCGUCAGCUUACCCUGUGAAGGUCCAAUAGUAAGCAGCCCUGGUACUACCUAAAACGUCAGGUCGAGGUGUAGCGUACGGAGGGGGAAGAAAUGGGCUACAUUCACUACAACAGUGAACACGAAUGAUGUGCUGAAACGCACAUCUGAAGGAGGAUUUAGCAGUAAGCAG
This 719-nucleotide ribosomal RNA is filed under the name Artedius fenestralis (padded sculpin). RNAcentral describes it as "partial 12S ribosomal RNA". It matches the Rfam family "Bacterial small subunit ribosomal RNA", at positions 327 to 1345 of the family's 1533-position model. The record is from RNAcentral. Lineage: Eukaryota; Metazoa; Chordata; Actinopteri; Perciformes; Cottidae.